UAAUACAGAGGAGGCUAGCGUUGUUCGGAAUCACUGGGCUUAAAGCGCGUGUAGGUGGCCUAUCAAGUAUCUUGUGAAAUCCCCGGGCUCAACUCGGGAAUUGCUGGGUAUACUGAUGGGCUUGAGGUAGGUAGGGGUGCCUGGAACUCUAGGUGGAGCGGUGAAAUGCGUAGAGAUCUAGAGGAACGCCCGUGGCGAAAGCGGGGCACUGGGCCUGUCCUGACACUAAGACGCGAAAGCGUGGGGAGCAAACGGGAUUAGAUACCCCGGUAGUCCACGCCGUAAACGAUGCGCACAAGAUUCAUGGUCCUCUGACGGCCCGUGGGUCGCAACGAAAAUGUUAAGUGCGCCGCCUGGGAAGUACGGCCGCAAGGCUA
This 377-nucleotide ribosomal RNA is filed under the name uncultured bacterium. RNAcentral's name for it is "bacterial SSU rRNA". It matches the Rfam family "Bacterial small subunit ribosomal RNA", at positions 521 to 896 of the family's 1533-position model. The record is from RNAcentral.